CGAGUCGCUUACGGAAAAGGACUAAAUGGUCCAAUCAUGAUAACUAUACUAUAACCAUAACACCAUCACGCUGGCCAUUUUAGCUUUGGGUUCAAACCUUCAAACCGCUGUUAUUUUUUGAACCGGACGUCGGUGGAGACGGUCUAACCGGGUGGGUUUGAAGCCGCUGCUCGGAAAUCACAAUCCCGGAGGUGACGGUCCUUGCGGUGGCACACGACGGAGUUGUGUAAUGCCAGCGAUCGGAUUCCUAAAUGGCUUCGAACGCUUCAUUUCGCCCUGAGAUCGGACCCGAUGGUCUCCCUAUAGAAGCUCCUGUUAUCAGCUACACCGAGAAGAUCAUUGAAGCCGAGCAACUUCAAUUACAGAAAUACAUUCAAGAAAACUAUUCUAAAAUACGUGAUGUGGAGCGUGAGCUUGCAAAUCUUAACCUGGAGGUGAAACUUACAGCUGGGCCAAAAAAAGCAGCCCUUGAACUUUUGAGAAAGAAAAUAGAGGAAUCAACAGAGAGAAUUCGUGUGGCCAAGCUAAAGGAGGAACAGGCACGGAAGGCGUGGGAAGCAGCAUCAAAAUUAGUUACGGAUGAGGAAGCAACAAAGCAAAAGCUAUGUGAAGACUUGAGCAAUCUGGUUCAAGAGAGUGGUAGCUCUCAGUUUUCUCGGCUGGAGGAAUUAAAAAGACGAUUGGAAGCUUUGAAUCCAAGUCGUGCAUCAACUAAUCUCUAUCAUGAUGGGAGAUCAGGAAGCUCUUCUCAGGAUAGUACAACGCAAGAUGGUUCCUCUGUUCCCAAUGCAAGGGAAUCAAGUGGGGGAUCGGCCGAGAGUGUUCCCAACCAAAGUAAUGGUCAGAAAGUUGCAGUGACAAAUGGACCUAGUCAACAGCCUCCUAAUGAAGGCGAAGGAAGAAGUAAAAAGAAAGUCAACCUGCAAGUAAAAGGAAAGGGAAUUGGUGCUGUGCCCAAGGGUAGAUCUUCAGGUCCUGGCUGGACUGGUGCUGGCUUUGAUGUAGAUGGCAGAACUUGAUACUAACGAUAUUAUUGCACAAAAUACAUUUUGAGUGAGAAGUCUACACUUCCUGUACAAGGCAACUUAGCAAGCAUCAUGGUUUGAUUGGAAUUCUUGGGGGUUCUAAGAAGAGGAAGAAGAAAGAAGAAGACGACAAGCACACUGAAAAUAGCUCUGCAAUUCUGCCAAGUACCAAAUGGUGGUGGGACUGGGACAAAAGCUUUUUGUAUCAUCAAAAUUUCCAUUCCGUUUCGUUCUCAGAAGAAUUAACUCCCCAUUGCUACUCUGUUUCUUGCAAUUAAGAGUGUCUGGCAGCAAGUACUGUAUUAAAAUCCAAGUGACUCAGUAUCAGUCUGCACUUGCAGCCAUAAUACCUCUACUACUUGUAAUAGCAGAGUCCCUGUUUAGGAGUUAUUUGAUAGUACCUCUACUUGUAGUUGUUUAGGAGUUAUUUGAUAGUACCUCUACUUGUAGUAGCAAUGUCACAGUCUAGAAAUUAGGAGUAGUUAUUUGAUAUGGUACCUCUGUUUGUACUGGCUCAGUCACUCCUUCAGGGUUGCUUCAUAGCGCAAUCCUCGAUGAAUUUAUGCCGCAUUAGAGAAGUCC
This is an RNA transcript of Gastrolobium bilobum, 1607 nucleotides long. RefSeq lists it as uncharacterized. The record is from RefSeq and is a predicted model, not a curated record. The transcript is spliced from 8 exons. NCBI's taxonomy places the organism in Eukaryota, Viridiplantae, Streptophyta, Magnoliopsida, Fabales, Fabaceae.